UCAGGAUGAACGCUGGCGGCGUGCUUAACACAUGCAAGUCGAACGGAGUUAUCCCGCUGACGAGACUUCGGUCAAAUCUUGGGAUAACUUAGUGGCGGACGGGUGAGUAACGCGUGGGUAACCUGCCAUAUACAGGGGGAUAACAGUCAGAAAUGACUGCUAAUACCGCAUAAGCGCACAGUGCUGCAUGGCACAGUGUGAAAAACUCCGGUGGUAUAUGAUGGACCCGCGUCUGAUUAGCUAGUUGGUGAGGUAACGGCCCACCAAGGCGACGAUCAGUAGCCGGCCUGAGAGGGUGAACGGCCACAUUGGGACUGAGACACGGCCCAAACUCCUACGGGAGGCAGCAGUGGGGAAUAUUGGACAAUGGGGGAAACCCUGAUCCAGCGACGCCGCGUGAGUGAAGAAGUAUUUCGGUAUGUAAAGCUCUAUCAGCAGGGAAGAAAAUGACGGUACCUGACUAAGAAGCCCCGGCUAACUACGUGCCAGCAGCCGCGGUAAUACGUAGGGGGCAAGCGUUAUCCGGAUUUACUGGGUGUAAAGGGAGCGUAGACGGUAAUGCAAGUCUGAAGUGAAAUGCGGGGGCUCAACCCCUGAACUGCUUUGGAAACUGUAUAACUGGAGUGCAGGAGAGGUAAGUGGAAUUCCUAGUGUAGCGGUGAAAUGCGUAGAUAUUAGGAGGAACACCAGUGGCGAAGGCGGCUUACUGGACUGUAACUGACGUUGAGGCUCGAAAGCGUGGGGAGCAAACAGGAUUAGAUACCCUGGUAGUCCACGCCGUAAACGAUGAUUACUAGGUGUUGGUGAGUAUGGACUCAUCGGUGCCGCAGCAAACGCAAUAAGUAAUCCACCUGGGGAGUACGUUCGCAAGAAUGAARCUCAAAGGAAUUGACGGGGACCCGCACAAGCGGUGGAGCAUGUGGUUUAAUUCGAAGCAACGCGAAGAACCUUACCAAGUCUUGACAUCUGGAUGACCGGAACUUAACCGUUCCCUCUCUUCGGAGCAUCCAAGACAGGUGGUGCAUGGUUGUCGUCAGCUCGUGUCGUGAGAUGUUGGGUUAAGUCCCGCAACGAGCGCAACCCUUAUCUUUAGUAGCCAGCAUUAACGGUGGGCACUCUAGAGAGACUGCCGGGGAUAACCCGGAGGAAGGUGGGGAUGACGUCAAAUCAUCAUGCCCCUUAUGAUUUGGGCUACACACGUGCUACAAUGGCGUUAAACAAAGGGAAGCAGCCCUGUGAAGGUGAGCAAAUCCCAAAAAUAACGUCCCAGUUCGGAUUGUAGUCUGCAACUCGACUACAUGAAGCUGGAAUCGCUAGUAAUCGCGGAUCAGAAUGCCGCGGUGAAUACGUUCCCGGGUCUUGUACACACCGCCCGUCACACCAUGGGAGUCGGAAAUGCCCGAAGUCUGUGACCUAACCGCAAGGAAGGAGCAGCCGAAGG
Molecule: ribosomal RNA, 1441 nt
Filed under: uncultured bacterium
Lineage: Bacteria
Description: bacterial SSU rRNA
Rfam family: Bacterial small subunit ribosomal RNA
Source: RNAcentral